RNAcentral lists this microRNA precursor (80 nucleotides) under Pteropus alecto (black flying fox). RNAcentral's name for it is "mir-92 microRNA precursor family". It matches the Rfam family "mir-92 microRNA precursor family". From Rfam's summary of the family: This family represents the microRNA precursor mir-92. The record is from Rfam by way of RNAcentral. Lineage: Eukaryota; Metazoa; Chordata; Mammalia; Chiroptera; Pteropodidae. RNAcentral also lists the same sequence under 1 other name.
AUUCAUCCAUGGGUGGGGAUUUGUUGCAUUACUUGUAUUAUUCAUAAAGUAUUGCACUUGUCCCGGCCUGUGGAAGAAAA